UUAAUAAAUCAUUUGAUUUUUCAGCCUUUUAUUAUCAAUACCUAAAAAAACAUUGUUAAUAACGGAUUGAUAGAUCCGUGGCUAAAAAUAUGGAUUAGCAACAGAUCCAUUGAUACUCCUUGUAUCGUUAAAGUAUUAGAUGCAUAUAAUAAGGACAGUUAGUGAGAUUCAAACUCUCAAUCUAGUAGGAACACUGAACUGAGUUUUACAAACUUCAUUAGCAUCAAAGUAUUUAAAAUAUUAAUUCUAUAGAAAAGGAUUGUUGACAGAGUCAGGUUUAGUUUGUACAACUAUCACCAAAUGAUGGAGCCGGAGGAAUCCAUGUAUAUGUGACAAACGACCUUUGACCCACAAAUCAGCUUUCUAUAUGCAAAGUGGGCUUGCCUGAGGGACCCCCAGCUUUUGUUAUCCCCGGCAGAAAAGGAGCAAAAUGGAUGUGUCUAGUGUCUAUUUUCUCUGUAUUAUUCAGUUAAAAUGGCCAUAUAAUUAUGUUCAUUUUUAGCCAGUGUUACUCAGUCUCCCCUUCUCUAUUCUGCUAUGCCGCUUAGCUAGCCUUUUUACAUGUUUUUUUCUUCCUCUAAUGCUCGCACUUAAGACCUCUUUCAACUCUAUAAAUACCGGUAAAUGUCCCUCCUGGCGAAUCACAUCCAGGGUUUGUUUUUCUUGUUAUACAAUAACAAGAACAUAGUUAGAGCUAUUUCUAAUAGCUUCUCAUCUUGUUUUCUUCAUUCUUAUGCUGAUCGCUGCCAUUGUUCCAACAAGCAGAGCUUGAGGGAAGGAAUUCAUUGUUGGAGAUGAAGCAGGAUGGAGACUAGGACUUGAUUACCAAGCUUGGUCUCAGGGCAAGAAGUUUCAUGUUGGAGAUAAGUGUAUUUAGAUAUUAUGUGGGAGCUCACAACGUGUUUAAGGUGAACGGAUCUGGGUACCAGAACUACAUUAAGCCAAAGCUAGGCGAGGCACUAGGGUACCAGAACUACAUUAAGCCUAAGGUAGGUGAGGCACUAAGUACUGGAAAUGACACAAUCGUUUUGGCAACUCCGGGAAGAAAAUGGUACGUUUGUGGAGUAGGCAAGAGAAUGGCAUGAAACUUUCUAUAAAUAUAUUAAUAUUUAAAGCACGAGCUCCCAAGCCUAGUCCACCCGCUCCACUCACUUACGACAAAGAAUUCAUAGUUGGAGAUGAAGCAGGAUGGAGACUAGGAUUUGAUUGUCAAGCUUGGGCUAAGGGCAAGCACUUCAGAGUUGGAGACAAGCUUGUUUUUCAGUAUUACCCAGAAGCUCACAAUGUGUUUAAGAGGAAUGGAACUGGGUUCUAAAACUGCAUUAGGCCACCGGCAACUGAAGCACCAAUAACCGGAAAUGAUAAAAUAGUUUUGGCAACUCCGGGAAGAAAAUGGUACACUUGCGGUGCAGGGAGCACUGCGAGAAAGGGAUGAAAGUCUUUGUAACUGUGCUACCACCAGCUGCUAAAGCACCCUAUACUCCAAAAAAUGUCUGAGGGGACUAUUUGUUAAUUAGAUUUUCUUAGCAGCGGACAUGUUUAACAAUCAGAUCUUAGUACUUGUCUAAGGUUAUUGUCUUGUGUUUGAUUAAUAUGUUCUUUUUCAAGGGGUUUGCAUGAAUGAUGCUUUUGUAUCAUUCAUUCUAGCUAGCUUUUUAUCAGAUGUGUCCUAAAGAAUUUGGAAUGAUUGAUUGCCUAACCAAUUAAACAGUUGUUUUA
Long non-coding RNA from Hevea brasiliensis (rubber tree), 1719 nucleotides. RefSeq lists it as uncharacterized. The transcript has 3 exons. The record is from RefSeq and is a predicted model, not a curated record. Lineage: Eukaryota; Viridiplantae; Streptophyta; Magnoliopsida; Malpighiales; Euphorbiaceae.